AACAGGAUUAGAUACCCUGGUAGUCCACGCCCUAAACGAUGUCUACUAGUUGUUGGGUCUUAAUUGACUUAGUAACGCAGCUAACGCGUGAAGUAGACCGCCUGGGGGGUACGGUCGCAAGAUUAAAACUCAAAGGAAUUGACGGGGACCCGCACAAGCGGUGGAUGAUGUGGAUUAAUUCGAUGCAACGCGAAAAACCUUACCUACCCUUGACAUGUACGGAAUCCCUGAGAGAUUAGGGAGUGCUCGAAAGAGAACCGUAACACAGGUGCUGCAUGGCUGUCGUCAGCUCGUGUCGUGAGAUGUUGGGUUAAGUCCCGCAACGAGCGCAACCCUUGUCAUUAGUUGCUACGAAAGGGCACUCUAAUGAGACUGCCGGUGACAAACCGGAGGAAGGUGGGGAUGACGUCAAGUCCUCAUGGCCCUUAUGGGUAGGGCUUCACACGUCAUACAAUGGUACAUACAGAGGGCCGCCAACCCGCGAGGGGGAGCUAAUCCCAGAAAGUGUAUCGUAGUCCGGAUUGUAGUCUGCAACUCGACUACAUGAAGUUGGAAUCGCUAGUAAUCGCGGAUCAGCAUGUCGCGGUGAAUACGUUCCCGGGUCUUGUACACACCGCCCGUCACACCAUGGGAGCGGGUUUCACCAGAAGUAGGUAGCCUAACCGUAAGGAGGGCGCUUACCACGGUGGGAUUCAUGACUGGGGGUGAAGUCGUAACAAGGUAACC
This 726-nucleotide ribosomal RNA is filed under the name uncultured bacterium. RNAcentral's name for it is "bacterial SSU rRNA". It matches the Rfam family "Bacterial small subunit ribosomal RNA", at positions 771 to 1501 of the family's 1533-position model. The record is from RNAcentral.